Molecule: ribosomal RNA, 497 nt
Filed under: uncultured bacterium
Lineage: Bacteria
Description: partial 16S ribosomal RNA
Rfam family: Bacterial small subunit ribosomal RNA
Source: RNAcentral
GAUGAACGCUGGCGGCGUGCCUAAUACAUGCAAGUCGAGCGAACAGACGAGGAGCUUGCUCCUCUGACGUUAGCGGCGGACGGGUGAGUAACACGUGGAUAACCUACAUAUAAGACUGGGAUAACUUCGGGAAACCGGAGCUAAUACCGGAUAAUAUAUUGAACCGCAUGGUUCAAUAGUGAAAGACGGUUUUGCUGUCACUUAAAGAUGGAUCCGCGCCGCAUUAGCUAGUUGGUAAGGUAACGGCUUACCAAGGCAACGAUGCGUAGCCGACCUGAGAGGGUGACCGGCCACACUGGAACUGAGACACGGUCCAGACUCCUACGGGAGGCAGCAGUAGGGAAUCUUCCGCAAUGGGCGAAAGCCUGACGCAGCAACGCCGCGUGAGUGAUGAAGGUCUUCGGAUCGUAAAGCUCUUUUAUUAGGGAAGAACAAAUGUGUAAGUAUCUAUGCACGUCUUGACGGUACCUAAUCAGAAAGCCACGGCUAACUACGUG